UGUUUUUCAGGGAGGUGGUUUAAGUAAACAAGUAUAUCUCUGAAUAAGGGAUAGAACCAGUAAACUAAACCUGAGAAAAUACUCCAACAACCUGAUCUGGAUAAUGCCAGCGUAGGGACUGGGAAACAGAGGGGA
RNAcentral lists this non-coding RNA (135 nucleotides) under Niastella vici. Its description in RNAcentral is "TPP sequence". It matches the Rfam family "TPP riboswitch aptamer (THI element)". Rfam says of the family: Vitamin B(1) in its active form thiamin pyrophosphate (TPP) is an essential coenzyme that is synthesised by coupling of pyrimidine and thiazole moieties in bacteria. The previously detected thiamin-regulatory element, thi box was extended, resulting in a new, highly conserved RNA secondary structure, the THI element, which is widely distributed in eubacteria and also occurs in some archaea. Analysis of operon structures identified a large number of new candidate thiamin-regulated genes, mostly transporters, in various prokaryotic organisms. The record is from Rfam by way of RNAcentral. Lineage: Bacteria; Pseudomonadati; Bacteroidota; Chitinophagia; Chitinophagales; Chitinophagaceae.